This 425-nucleotide ribosomal RNA is filed under the name Microbacterium testaceum. RNAcentral's name for it is "bacterial SSU rRNA". It matches the Rfam family "Bacterial small subunit ribosomal RNA", at positions 1 to 426 of the family's 1533-position model. The record is from RNAcentral. Lineage: Bacteria; Bacillati; Actinomycetota; Actinomycetes; Micrococcales; Microbacteriaceae.
CCUCCUUAGAGUUUGAUCCUGGCUCAGGAUGAACGCUGGCGGCGUGCUUAACACAUGCAAGUCGAACGGUGAAGCCAAGCUUGCUUGGUGGAUCAGUGGCGAACGGGUGAGUAACACGUGAGCAACCUGCCCUGGACUCUGGGAUAAGCGCUGGAAACGGCGUCUAAUACUGGAUAUGAGACGUGAUCGCAUGGUCGUGUUUGGAAAGAUUUUUCGGUCUGGGAUGGGCUCGCGGCCUAUCAGCUUGUUGGUGAGGUAAUGGCUCACCAAGGCGUCGACGGGUAGCCGGCCUGAGAGGGUGACCGGCCACACUGGGACUGAGACACGGCCCAGACUCCUACGGGAGGCAGCAGUGGGGAAUAUUGCACAAUGGGCGAAAGCCUGAUGCAGCAACGCCGCGUGAGGGAUGACGGCCUUCGGGUUGU